Molecule: ribosomal RNA, 253 nt
Filed under: uncultured bacterium
Lineage: Bacteria
Description: partial 16S ribosomal RNA
Rfam family: Bacterial small subunit ribosomal RNA
Source: RNAcentral
UACGUAGGGCGCAAGCGUUAUCCGGAAUUAUUGGGCGUAAAGAGCUCGUAGGCGGUUUGUCGCGUCUGCCGUGAAAGUCCGGGGCUCAACUCCGGAUCUGCGGUGGGUACGGGCAGACUAGAGUGAUGUAGGGGAGACUGGAAUUCCUGGUGUAGCGGUGAAAUGCGCAGAUAUCAGGAGGAACACCGGUGGCGAAGGCGGCAUCCUGGACCGACAUUGACGCUGAUGAGCGAAAGCUAGGGGAGCAAACGGG